ACUGGGCGUGGUGGCGCAUGCCUGUAGUCCCAGCUACUCGGGAGGCUGAGGCAGGAGGAUCGAUUGAGCCUAGGGGUUCUGGGCUGCAGACUAUGCCAACCGGGUGUCUGAACUAAGUUUGGCAUCAAUAUGGUGACCUCCUGGGACCACCUGGUUGCCUAAGGAGGGGUGAACUGGCCUAAGUCGGAAACAGAGCAGGUCAAAACUCCCAUGCUGAUCAGUAGUGGGACGGCGCCUGUGAAUAGGCACUACACUCCAGCCUGGACAACAGUGAGACACCGUUUCU
This 286-nucleotide signal recognition particle RNA is filed under the name Saimiri boliviensis boliviensis (Bolivian squirrel monkey). RNAcentral describes it as "Metazoan signal recognition particle RNA (ENSSBOG00000008575.1)". It matches the Rfam family "Metazoan signal recognition particle RNA". Rfam says of the family: The signal recognition particle (SRP) is a universally conserved ribonucleoprotein. It is involved in the co-translational targeting of proteins to membranes. The record is from RNAcentral. Lineage: Eukaryota; Metazoa; Chordata; Mammalia; Primates; Cebidae.